CCACCGCGGUUAUACGAGAGACCCAAGUUGUUAAAUCACGGCGUAAAGGGUGGUUAAGACACAUCAAAUAAUAGAGCCGAAUACUUACAAAGUUGUUAUACACACACGAAACUAAGAAGCCCGAUCACGAAAGUGGCUUUAUAAUAUCUGAACCCACGUAAGCUAUGACACAAACUGGGAUUAGAUACCCCAUUAUGCUUAGCCGUAAACAUCGACAGCAUUUUAUACCCGCUGUCCGCCCGGGGACUACGAGCAACAGCUUAAAACCCAAAGGACUUGGCGGUGCUUUAGUCCCACCUAGAGGAGCCUGUUCUGGAACCGAUAAUCCCCGUUCAACCUCACCCUUUCUUGUUUCUCCCGCCUAUAUACCACCGUCGCAAGCUCACCCUAUGAGGGAUAAACAGUGAGCCCAAUUGGCAUUGCCCAGAACGUCAGGUCGAGGUGUAGCGAAUGAAAGGGGAAGAAAUGGGCUACAUUCUCUAACACAGAGUAUACGGAAGGUUACGCUGAAAUAUGUACCUGAAGGAGGAUUUAGUAGUAAGCAGGAAGUAGAGUGUCCCGCUGAAACCGGCUCUGAAGCGCGCACACACCGCCCGUCACUCUCCCCGAGCUAUAGAACCCAAUUAACUAAUAACCCAUGACUGCAAAGGGGAGGCAAGUCGUAACAUGGUAAGUG
RNAcentral lists this ribosomal RNA (676 nucleotides) under Lopholatilus chamaeleonticeps (great northern tilefish). RNAcentral's name for it is "partial 12S small subunit ribosomal RNA". It matches the Rfam family "Bacterial small subunit ribosomal RNA", at positions 512 to 1502 of the family's 1533-position model. The record is from RNAcentral. Lineage: Eukaryota; Metazoa; Chordata; Actinopteri; Malacanthidae.